This 464-nucleotide ribosomal RNA is filed under the name uncultured bacterium. Its description in RNAcentral is "partial 16S ribosomal RNA". It matches the Rfam family "Bacterial small subunit ribosomal RNA", at positions 28 to 523 of the family's 1533-position model. The record is from RNAcentral.
GAUGAACGCUGGCGGCGUGCCUAAUACAUGCAAGUCGUGCGGAAAGGCCUCUUCGGAGGUACUCGAGCGGCGGACGGCAGAGUAACGCGUAGGAACAUACCCCAAACUGAGGGAUAACUGCCCGAAAGGGUGGCUAAUACCGCAUGUGAUCUUCGGAUUAAAGCUUCGGCGGUUUGGGAAUGGCCUGCGUUCGAUUAGCUAGUUGGUGAGGUAAAGGCUCACCAAGGCGACGAUCGAUAACUGGUCUGAGAGGAUGAUCAGUCUGACUGGAACUGAGACACGGUCCAGACUCCUACGGGAGGCAGCAGUGGGGAAUAUUGCACAAUGGGCGAAAGCCUGAUGCAGCAACGCCGCGUGAGGGAUGAAGGCCUUCGGGUUGUAAACCUCUUUUAGCAGGGAAGAAGCGAAAGUGACGGUACCUGCAGAAAAAGCACCGGCUAACUACGUGCCAGCCGCCGCAGUAA